This 404-nucleotide long non-coding RNA is filed under the name Phasianus colchicus (ring-necked pheasant). RNAcentral describes it as "lncRNA (ENSPCLG00000004937.1)". The record is from RNAcentral. Lineage: Eukaryota; Metazoa; Chordata; Aves; Galliformes; Phasianidae.
GCAAUAUGGUCUUCCUUCAGAGAGACACAGUAUGUGACUAAAUAUCUCCAAGUUUGUGGCCUGCUGCACUGGCAUUUUCACUGAAGACUUAUUACUUCUGCAGACAUCUUCAAGGGAGUGAAUUUAAGGAAGAUGCAUCCCUGCAUAAGGAUUCAGCUGCAUGAAGAAAUCUGUGAGAUAUGGCAGAAGCUGUGGUCAGAUGGCAAGUUCUCCUGCCAGUCUGCAGCCCCCAAGCUUCCAGUAAGGGCUAUCCUAUCUCACAGCAACUUUAAGAGUGAUGAUGAAGACGCCAAGGUGGAUAUAGUGCCACAGAAAUGAGCCACAAGGAGGUUAAAAACAAAACAAAAGUCAAAACCAAAACAGCUCUCUCUAGAGAACUGGAAAAGAAAGAGACACAAAACUGA